Molecule: non-coding RNA, 147 nt
Filed under: Gorilla gorilla gorilla (western lowland gorilla)
Lineage: Eukaryota; Metazoa; Chordata; Mammalia; Primates; Hominidae
Source: Rfam by way of RNAcentral
GCCGGGCGUGGUGGCGGGCGCCUGUAAUCCCAGCUACUGGGAGGCUGAGGCAGGAGAAUGGCGUGAACCCAGGAGGUGGAGCUUGCAGUGAGCCGAGAUCGCGCCACUGCACUCCACCCUGGGCGACAGAGCGAGACUCUGUCUCGA